Small nucleolar RNA from Phoenix dactylifera (date palm), 95 nucleotides. RefSeq annotates it as small nucleolar RNA snoR1. Lineage: Eukaryota; Viridiplantae; Streptophyta; Magnoliopsida; Arecales; Arecaceae. The record is from RefSeq and is a predicted model, not a curated record.
GGCUAUGACGGAGUUUUGGUUGUUUCUGACACCUCUUGUAUGCGAAAGGUUUUCCUUAAACCCUUCCUUGAUCACAUAAAACAACCAUCUGAGCC